RNAcentral lists this transfer RNA (60 nucleotides) under Proasellus parvulus. RNAcentral describes it as "transfert RNA-G(GGA)". The record is from RNAcentral. Lineage: Eukaryota; Metazoa; Arthropoda; Malacostraca; Isopoda; Asellidae.
ACCUAUUUAGUAUAAUAAGUACAAUAAGUUUCCAACUUAAAAGUUCAACAGGACUAGGUA